Molecule: ribosomal RNA, 447 nt
Filed under: uncultured bacterium
Lineage: Bacteria
Description: bacterial SSU rRNA
Rfam family: Bacterial small subunit ribosomal RNA
Source: RNAcentral
UCGGGAAUUUUGGGCAAUGGGGGAAACCCUGACCCAGCAACGCCGCGUGAAGGAUGAAGUAUUUCGGUAUGUAAACUUCGAAAGAAUAGGAAGAAUAAAUGACGGUACUAUUUAUAAGGUCCGGCUAACUACGUGCCAGCAGCCGCGGUAAUACGUAGGGACCAAGCGUUGUUCGGAUUUACUGGGCGUAAAGGGCGCGUAGGCGGCAUGACAAGUCACUUGUGAAAUCUCUGGGCUUAACCCAGAACGGCCAAGUGAUACUGUCGCGCUAGAGUGCAGAAGGGGCAAUCGGAAUUCUUGGUGUAGCGGUGAAAUGCGUAGAUAUCGGGAGGAACAUCAGUGGCGAAGGCGGCCCUCUGGUCCAGUACUGACACUCAAGUGCGAAAGCGUGGGGAGCAAACAGGAUUAGAUACCCCUUUAGUCCCUGAGCGGGCUGGCAAGGCGCAU